Molecule: ribosomal RNA, 500 nt
Filed under: uncultured methanogenic archaeon
Lineage: Archaea; Methanobacteriati; Methanobacteriota
Description: bacterial SSU rRNA
Rfam family: Archaeal small subunit ribosomal RNA
Source: RNAcentral
UCUGGUUGAUCCCGCCGGAGGUUACUGCUAUCGAGGUUCGACUAAGCCAUGCGAGUCGAAUGUAGCAAUACAUGGCGAACUGCUCAGUAACACGUGGACAACCUGCCCUUAGGUUGGGUAUAAACCCGGGAAACUGGGUAUAAUACCCGAUAGGUCUCGAUUGCUGGAAUGCAUCGAGAUUUAAAGCUCCGGCGCCUAAGGAUGGGUCUGCGGCCUAUCAGGUAGUAGUGGGUGUAGCGUACCUACUAGCCUACGACGGGUACGGGUUGUGAGAGCAAGAGCCCGGAGAUGGAUUCUGAGACACGAAUCCAGGCCCUACGGGGUGCAGCAGGCGCGAAAACUUUACAAUGCUGGCAACAGCGAUAAGGGAACCUCGAGUGCCAGGUUACAAAUCUGGCUGUCGAGAUGCCUAAAAAGCAUUUCAUAGCAAGGGCCGGGCAAGACCGGUGCCAGCCGCCGCGGUAACACCGGCGGCUCGAGUGGUAACCGUUAUUAUUGGG